Molecule: ribosomal RNA, 478 nt
Filed under: uncultured Glomus
Lineage: Eukaryota; Fungi; Glomeromycota; Glomeromycetes; Glomerales; Glomeraceae
Description: SSU rRNA
Rfam family: Eukaryotic small subunit ribosomal RNA
Source: RNAcentral
AGCAGCCGCGGUAAUUCCAGCUCCAAUAGCGUAUAUUAAAGUUGUUGCAGUUAAAAAGCUCGUAGUUGAAUUUCGAGACCGGUCUACUGGUCGUGCUUUUGUACGUACUGGUUUUAUUGGUUUCUCCUUUCUGACGAACUAUAAUGCCAUUAAUUUGGUGUUAUAGGGAAUCAGGACUGUUACUUUGAAAAAAUUAGAGUGUUUAAAGCAGGCUCACGCUUGAAUACAUUAGCAUGGAAUAACGGAAUAGGACGUUUGAUUUUAUUUUGUUGGUUUCUAGGAUCGACGUAAUGAUUAAUAGGGAUAGUUGGGGGCAUUAGUAUUCAAUUGUCAGAGGUGAAAUUCUUGGAUUUAUUGAAGACUAACUACUGCGAAAGCAUUUGCCAAGGAUGUUUUCAUUAAUCAAGAACGAAAGUUAGGGGAUCGAAGACGAUCAGAUACCGUCGUAGUCUUAACCAUAAACUAUGCCGACUAGGGA